UACAGAGGUCUCAAGCGUUGUUCGGAUUCAUUGGGCGUAAAGGGUGCGUAGGCGGCGCGGUAAGUCGGGUGUGAAAUCUCGGAGCUUAACUCCGAAACUGCAUUCGAUACUGCCGUGCUUGAGGACUGGAGAGGAGACUGGAAUUUACGGUGUAGCGGUGAAAUGCGUAGAUAUCGUAAGGAAGACCAGUGGCGAAGGCGGGUCUCUGGACAGUUCCUGACGCUGAGGCACUAAGGCCAGGGGAGCAAACGGG
RNAcentral lists this ribosomal RNA (253 nucleotides) under uncultured bacterium. RNAcentral's name for it is "partial 16S ribosomal RNA". It matches the Rfam family "Bacterial small subunit ribosomal RNA", at positions 524 to 776 of the family's 1533-position model. The record is from RNAcentral.